Molecule: non-coding RNA, 27 nt
Filed under: Rattus norvegicus (Norway rat)
Lineage: Eukaryota; Metazoa; Chordata; Mammalia; Rodentia; Muridae
Source: RNAcentral
UGAGCUCAAAUAUGGUCAGAAUUCGAC